GAAACAACACUCCUCCCCUGUAUUUUAUCAACACAUUCUGCGCUGAUUCCAAACAACCGGAAGAAGCAUAGGAAUGAAUCAGAACGUUACUGAACAUCUGAUUCGAACCCAAGUUUUAACAUCUGGGCAUGUGCUUUUUCCCUUUGUAUAAAUCAAGCAAGUACGCGCAAGCCUUCAAAACGAAGGGAACGUUUGCUUAUCCGGCGACACAGUUCCUUGCUCUAGCAUUCUUUUACACAGCAAAAAAGUUUGUUCUUUACUAUCCGUCUACCAGAGCUCUGCGCACAGGCUCUAAUGAGAGUGUUCCACUUUAAUGAAUUGGGGCUGUGAAUUCCAUUGAAUGCUCGACAGGCAUAGUGAAAGGUAGAGGACUCGAGGGCAGAGAAAUGAAGAAAUUGACUAUAAGAAAAGAUGGCAUCUGGAUGGUUAGGUUAUGUGAAACGUAGAGCUUGCGCUUGAAUUUG
This 464-nucleotide unclassified non-coding RNA is filed under the name Hevea brasiliensis (rubber tree). Lineage: Eukaryota; Viridiplantae; Streptophyta; Magnoliopsida; Malpighiales; Euphorbiaceae. The record is from RNAcentral.